AGCGAACGCUGGCGGCAGGCUUAACACAUGCAAGUCGAGCGGGCGUAGCAAUACGUCAGCGGCAGACGGGUGAGUAACGCGUGGGAACAUACCUUUUGGUUCGGAACAACACAGGGAAACUUGUGCUAAUACCGGAUAAGCCCUUACGGGGAAAGAUUUAUCGCCGAAAGAUUGGCCCGCGUCUGAUUAGCUAGUUGGUGAGGUAACGGCUCACCAAGGCGACGAUCAGUAGCUGGUCGAGAGGAUGAUCAGCCAC
RNAcentral lists this ribosomal RNA (256 nucleotides) under uncultured bacterium. Its description in RNAcentral is "partial 16S ribosomal RNA". It matches the Rfam family "Bacterial small subunit ribosomal RNA", at positions 29 to 311 of the family's 1533-position model. The record is from RNAcentral.